RNAcentral lists this ribosomal RNA (253 nucleotides) under uncultured bacterium. Its description in RNAcentral is "partial 16S ribosomal RNA". It matches the Rfam family "Bacterial small subunit ribosomal RNA", at positions 524 to 776 of the family's 1533-position model. The record is from RNAcentral.
GACAGAGGCCUCAAGCGUUAGGCGGAAUCACCGGGCUUAAAGCGUGUGUAGGCGGAUCGUUAAGUGUCUUGUGAAAUCCCACGGCUCACCCGUGGAACUGCUGGGCAUACUGGCGAUCUUGGGCCAACUAGGGGCAACUGGAACAAGCGGUGGAGCGGUGAAAUGCGUAGAUAUCGCUUGGAACGCCAAAGGUGAAAACAGGUUGCUGGGGUUGUGCCGACGCUGAGACACGAAAGCCAGGGGAGCAAACGGG